RNAcentral lists this ribosomal RNA (245 nucleotides) under uncultured Terrimonas sp. Its description in RNAcentral is "partial 16S ribosomal RNA". It matches the Rfam family "Bacterial small subunit ribosomal RNA", at positions 524 to 768 of the family's 1533-position model. The record is from RNAcentral. Lineage: Bacteria; Pseudomonadati; Bacteroidota; Chitinophagia; Chitinophagales; Chitinophagaceae.
UACGGAGGAUCCAAGCGUUAUCCGGAUUCACUGGGUUUAAAGGGUGCGUAGGUGGAAUGACAAGUCAGUGGUGAAAACCUGCAGCUUAACUGUAGAACUGCCAUUGAUACUGUUAUUCUUGAGUACAUUUGAUGUGAGUGGAAUGUGUCGUGUAGCGGUGAAAUGCUUAGAUAUGACACAGAACACCAAUUGCGAAGGCAGCUCACAAAACUGUAACUGACACUGAGGCACGAAAGCGUGGGGAU